This 250-nucleotide ribosomal RNA is filed under the name uncultured bacterium. Its description in RNAcentral is "partial 16S ribosomal RNA". It matches the Rfam family "Bacterial small subunit ribosomal RNA", at positions 524 to 773 of the family's 1533-position model. The record is from RNAcentral.
UACGUAGGUGGCAAGCGUUGUCCGGAAUUACUGGGCGUAAAGGGCGUGUAGGCGGCUUUUUAAGUCAGACGUGAAAUCUCUGGGCUUAACCCAGAAAUUGCGUUUGAAACUGGAAGGCUUGAGGAUCGGAGAGGGUAGUGGAAUUCCCAGUGUAGCGGUGAAAUGCGUAGAUAUUGGGAGGAACACCAGUGGCGAAGGCGACUGCCUGGACGACACCUGACGCUGAGGCGCGAAAGCUAGGGGAGCAAAC